GGCUGUCAAUAGGUGGCUGAAAUUAUGUCCACCAGAUAGCGCGAGUGUCUUCAGCAGUGACGCAUAACGGCCAUUUUGUUCCAAGACGCAGAAGAUAUGGGUUGCUGGUCGUGACGUUUCACGUUUCUCAUGAUGGAAAUUAAAAGCAGCUCUGUUAAAAGGUGAUUUAGCAUGUAGAAACCACUUUGCCAAAUCAUUCAACUCAGACUUGGAAUUGCCGAAAUGGCGUGCCUCGUGUGUCUUGCUGCCUGUCUUAGGCUUACGUCUCAUCCCAUGCAACAGCAAAAAGUAUAACAACCACACUUCUUAAACGCUGUUGGUUACCUUGUUGCAGCCAAAUGGGGAAAGGUGUGACGAAGACUGAUUGAACCGUUGUAUUCAGCAUGAGGUUGCAGUGUGAUCCAGAAGUUGCUGUGCUGUUGUAGCUGAGCUGUUCCAUCUGGCUUCCUGACUUGAAAAUUUUUGUGUUAUUGUUUGCCUGCCAGUAUUUUGUGUUGUGACUUCAAAUAGUUUGAUCUGUCGUCUUUUGAGUUUUUAUUCAAUCAUGCAGUAUACGACUGAGGCAACCUGAUCAAUGUCAGGUUUGACACAGUUGAGAACUGCUAGAUAAAACAAGCUUUCUGCGCCAAACAAAUAAUAAUUUGCAUAUAACUUGCAUCAUAUUAUUAUCGCGGUAGAGAAAGCGACAGGCCCCCCCCCCUGGGGGCCACAGGAAAAAUAUGAAUUCAAAUACAAAUUUUGUAUAAACUUUUGUUAUGAAUAAACUUUGUAUAUAAUAAAAUUUUCGAAAACA
Daphnia pulex (common water flea) is the source of this 793-nucleotide long non-coding RNA. RefSeq lists it as uncharacterized. The transcript has 3 exons. The record is from RefSeq and is a predicted model, not a curated record. NCBI's taxonomy places the organism in Eukaryota, Metazoa, Arthropoda, Branchiopoda, Diplostraca, Daphniidae.